UCCCAGCAUGCAUCACAGUUUCCUCCCCUCUGCUCGGUAGAUAAUUGGGAAGUAAUUCAAUUAUCUCCCAGAGCAGAGGCAAAUCGCCAUUUUAACUCAAAGUUACAAAACACAUUAAAAUACAGAACUUUAUAACUGCUGAACGUAUUGCAUUCGUAUAGCACAUCCCCAGAUAGCCUGGAUCUGAGUGCAUAUUAUUGGCGAAUAGCGCUUAGAUCCCAUACGCACAGUUCAAUCGCCAUGGAGUCAAAGUCUAUUACAGUUCUUCGGUAUGCGAUUGACUCCAUGGGAAGGCUAUCUGGGUUAAGUCCAUUCGUGUCUUUAAAUCUCUCGAACGGCCGGUAUUCAUAUACUUUUGUCGAUUGAGAAGGGGAGGUCGACGGCUUCAGCAGUGUUCGGUUGAAAAAGUGUCCGUUUUUAGUUCCAUGAAAUAAUCGAGCACCGCUGGGCUUUCGCAUAGUUAAAAUGGCCGCCGCCUCGUGGUCGACAUACGAACAACGACCACCCUGUAUUCGGUUUUAAUUGAGAAGUGUCUGUGGUCAACCGCAAUGUUCUAAUUGGGAUCAAUAGGUUAACCAGCAGCCCACUUCUCUUCUGGGUGGCCGUCCGUUCGGUAGUUCCGUUCCUUCUUCUUGACUUCGGCUGAUGUUUGGGGAUUCGUGUGUUUCACUAAGGGAAUCUUCUUGUGAAGCUAUUGGGAUUACUAUAUGGUUUGUCUAUUCUAUCUACCGAACGGAGGGCUAUAAUCACUAAGGCUCUGGCGGUUCGGGAGGAAACUACAGAAUGAGGUUUAAAUAUACUUGGUUUCCUUACAAUUCCCUUUAUGUAUUUAAAUGUUUCUAUCAUAUCCCCCCUGUCUCGUCUCUCCUCCAAGCUAUACAUGUUAAGUUCCUUUAACUUUUCCUUGUAAGUUUUAACCUGCAAUCCAUGAACUCUGGUAUUGCUAUGUCCCAGUCAUUUUUCUCAUUAUACCAUGUCUCAGGAACAGCGACUAAAUCUACAUUAUCAGUUGCCAUUAUUGCCACAAGUUCCUGGACCUUAUUCCCUAAACUGUGAGCAUUUUUAGACUGGACUCUAAGCUUAUAAUUUUUAACACACUUGCUACAGGCACCUUCUGUCCUUGUUUUGGGGGACAAUUGGAUUGAUGUUUUAUCACCCUUUUGCCCCCUCCUCCUACUUUAAAUACAUCCUGGCAAAAUCUCUGAACUGCUCACUGAGAAAAUUUGUUCCCUUUUGAGAAAGAUGCAAACAAUCUUUUUUGUACAGUUCAUUUCCAUUCCAAACAGAGCUACCAUGAGAAAUGAAGCCAAAUCCUUGCUCCCGACACCAUUCACCAAGCCACAAAUUAAAGUCCCUAAUACGCAUCCGCCUGUUGUUCUGAGUGUUAUGCACAGGCAGAACUUCAGAGAAUGACAGUGUGGAAGCAACCUGCCAUAUAUCAUUGGCAAAAACACUAAAAACUUCCUUAACCUCUGAAACGUCAUUGCAAGCCAAGUCAUUUGUCCCUAGAUGGACAAGUAUAUCCAAUUCCCCUUCCUGCUUUGCUCUCUUAACAAUAUUACAAGUACGUCUCCUGUCUCUGUGAGCAGUAGCUCCGGGAAGACAUCUCACAAGACCACUAUUGUCCAGCUCCACACCGCUUAUGAUGGAAUCCCCUGACAACAACUGCUUUCUAUUAGGCCUCACCAUAGUCUCUAAGCCUGUCUCCAUAAUACCACUACACUCGGAGCCUGAGCCUAUCUCCACAACACCACUACCCUCAGAGCCUGAGUCUGUCUCCACAACACCACUACACUCAGAGCCUGAGUCUGUCUCCACAACACCACUACACUCAGUGCCCUGAGCCUGUCUCCACAACACCACUACACUCAGUGCCCUGAGCCUGUCUCCACAACACCACUACACUCGGUGCUCUGAGCCUGUCUCCACAACACCACUACACUCGGUGCCCUGAGCCUGUCUCCACAACACCACUACACUCGGUGCCCUGAACCUGUCUCCACAACACCACUACACUCAGUGCCCUGAGCCUGUCUCCACAACACCACUACACUCAGUGCCCUGAGCCUGUCUCCACAACACCGCUACACUCAGUGCCCUGAGCCUGUCUCCACAACACCGCUACACUCAGUGCCCUGAGCCUGUCUCCACAACACCGCUACACUCUGUGCCUGGGCCUGACUCCACAACACCACUACCCUCGGUGCCUGAGCCUGACUCCACAACACCACUACACUUGGUGCCUGAGCCUGUCUCCACAACACCAUUACACUCUGAAAGUGCUGUAAAUUAAUUAUUUCUGUAUUUACAUAUGAAAAUGAAGGAAAGGGACCUUAGUUGAGAAAAAGGAUAAAUGAGUUAUUUAUUACACGUGAGUUUACAGAGGAAGAGGUUCUAUUUCAACUGUCAAAAGUAAAGACAAAUAAGUCAAUGGGACCUGAUGGAAUACACCCAAAGCUAUUAAAAGAGCUUAGUGGUGUACUAGCAAAACCAUAAACAGAUUUAUUUAACCAAUCAUUGUUAACAGGAAUAGUCCCAGAAGAUUGGAAGUUAGCGAAUGUUGUGCCCAUUUACAAGAAAGGUAAUAGGGAGGAGUCGGGCAACUAUAGGCCAGUAAGCCUUACU
Pelobates cultripes (western spadefoot toad) is the source of this 2625-nucleotide non-coding RNA. The record is from the annotation of a GenBank genome assembly. NCBI's taxonomy places the organism in Eukaryota, Metazoa, Chordata, Amphibia, Anura, Pelobatidae.